CCCUUAGAUGUCCUGGGCUGCACGCGCGCUACACUGGAAGUUACGGAUUGAGAUACUACCUUGUCCGAAAUGGUCCGGGUAAUCACCUAAAAGCUUGUCAUAAUUGGAAUGGAUUAUUGUAACUAGUAAUCCUGAACGAGGAAUUCCUAGUAAGUCCCAGUCAACAGCUGGUACUGAUUACGUCCCUGCCCUUUGUACACACCGCCCGUCGCUACUACUGAUUGGACGUUUAAGCAAGAUUUUUAAACACUGACAGUGUGUAGUUCACGCCAUACUACAGUGAGAAGAAGAAGAUCGAGCUUACUUGUCUAGAGGAAGUAAAAGUCGUAACA
This 332-nucleotide ribosomal RNA is filed under the name uncultured eukaryote. RNAcentral describes it as "partial 18S ribosomal RNA". It matches the Rfam family "Eukaryotic small subunit ribosomal RNA", at positions 1470 to 1796 of the family's 1831-position model. The record is from RNAcentral.